UUUUACGUCGACAGGAGCAGAGCUCGAGCGAGCAAGCGCCGCCGCCGGCCAACACCCACGCCGCCAUUUCCAUUCGCGUCUCCGUCCGCCAGCAGCUCCACUAGCCCCACCACGACGCCCAAGCCUACCCGUUGCUCGUUUCCCUGCCGGCAAGCUUCGAAUCGCCACCGUUACUGUCCGCCGGCCGCCGUCACCCAAUCCACGAGGUAAGCUCCUGAACCGACUGUUUCUUCUCAAUUAACGGGCCUAGGGGCGUCCUGCGAGAGUUUGGAAGCCGAAGGGGGAGUCGUGGAAGCCUCUUGAGCCGUCUCCGUGUGCCGCCAUGGCCGGCAGUUGGCCAAGCCGCAGCCGCCCGUGGAGGGUCCGGCUCGGGCCGCCUCCCGGCGAGCUGGCGGUGGGCGCGGGUGCGCCUGGCCUGGGGCGCCGCCACCCCGUCCCUCUCGGCCGCCGGCGAGCCGCCAGCCAGCGAGCCCCCGUCGGUCCCGCGCGCCCCUGUUUUGGCGCAGGGAGGAAGAAGACAUGCGCCAGGGGGUUGUGAGGAGAAAGAGAAGGAGAAGCAGGCCGGUCAGUGUACUUGGGCCGGGAUGACAAGUUGCGGUAGGAGAGGCCCAGGUGGAGCGGGAGAGAAGGAGAAGGCCAGCGCCGUCUUGGGCCAAGGGGAGGCGACGGCCCAGCUAGCCCGCACGGUGUAAAGAAGAAAGGGAAGAUGGGCCGGCGGAGGAAAAAGAAAGCCGUGGGCCGGAUUGAGCAGGCCGAUUGUCGAAGAAAGAAAAAGAAAAAGAAGAAAUGGGCCGGCCGGGGUUGAGAAAAAGAAGAGAAGGGGGAGCCGGCCCAAAGAGAAGGCUGCCGCAAAAAGGCCACGCGUGGAAGGUUAAGUUGGCGGGCCACUUUUCGGCCCAAAGGAAGAUUUCGGCCGUGGGCCCCGAAGAAAAAAAGAAGGAGAGUAGGAGGCCGGAUGGGCCCUAGGUGGAAGUGAUGGUGGGUAGAAGCAAGUUGGGUGAGAAAAGUUUGGGCCGGGGGUUUUUAUUAAACCUUAGGUUUUCUUUUAUUAGAUAAAUAGAUUAAAUGCUGUUUUCACCAUUUAAUUCACAGGAAAUUCUAGAAGUGUCCAAAAAUUAGUGAAACCAAUUUUAUUAGGAUUAUUUUAUUUUCCUUUAUGCAUUAAAAUUCUUAAACCCUAGGAAAAAUAAUAAAAAUUUAGGUAUUUAUUUAAUGCCUUUUUAUAAGGUAUUUAAAUAAAUGCUUAAACUUUAUUAAAUGUAUAAAACUUGAAAGAUGCUUUAUUAUCCACAAAUUAUUAUUAAUUCAUAGGAAUUAGGUUUUUGAGAUUAGAAAAUUAUUAUAAUGCUUUUAAAAAUAAAAGAAGAGGUCUAAGGUAGGAUUAGUAAAGGAAAUAAAAAUGAUGGGUUAAUCCUUUCGGGUUUUUGUGUGUUGGCUUGCAACUUUAUCAUGAUAAAUUGUAUAGUCCUUGUGGGCUUGCAACUUUAUCAUGAAGGAAAGUUGUAUAGUCUUGUAUUCAAAAGUUUUGCAUCUCUAACUCCUGCAUAUGCUAAAUCGUAGACGUCACAACUCCUGAAGUGGGAAUUCAUGGAAUUCAGCUGGAGAUGGAUAGCUUUCGCAGUGCCUCUUUCAAUAAACAAGUUUUUCGAAGAACUAACCUUGUUGAUCCCAGGCAAGCCCCGGUGCAUUUAUACCUAUCUAUUUUGGAGUCGUUAUUUCAUGUGACUAGUUGUAGGUUAAUUGUUAUAUGUAUGCACUAAGUCUAGGAGUUGAUUGAAACCUAUUCUUGUGUAUGAUCAUGCCUUGAUUUAAGGACAUCUUUGCC
This 1825-nucleotide long non-coding RNA is filed under the name Setaria viridis. Its description in RNAcentral is "long non-coding RNA (SVIR_LNC007527)". The record is from RNAcentral. Lineage: Eukaryota; Viridiplantae; Streptophyta; Magnoliopsida; Poales; Poaceae.